This 206-nucleotide ribosomal RNA is filed under the name uncultured bacterium. RNAcentral's name for it is "partial 16S ribosomal RNA". It matches the Rfam family "Bacterial small subunit ribosomal RNA", at positions 568 to 774 of the family's 1533-position model. The record is from RNAcentral.
UGCGUAGGCGGGUCUUUAAGUCAGGGGUGAAAUCCUGGAGCUCAACUCCAGAACUGCCUUUGAUACUGAGGAUCUUGAGUUCGGGAGAGGUGAGUGGAACUGCGAGUGUAGAGGUGAAAUCCGUAGAUAUUCGCAAGAACACCAGUGGCGAAGGCGGCUCACUGGCCCGAUACUGACGCUGAGGCACGAAAGCUGGGGAGCAAACA